ACGUAGGGUGCGAGCGUUAAUCGGAAUUACUGGGCGUAAAGCGUGCGCAGGCGGUGAGUUAAGUCUGAUGUGAAAGCCCCGGGCUCAACCUGGGAACGGCAUUGGAAACUGGCUCGCUGGAGUGUGGCAGAGGGGGGUGGAAUUCCGCGUGUAGCAGUGAAAUGCGUAGAGAUGCGGAGGAACACCGAUGGCGAAGGCAGCCCCCUGGGCCAACACUGACGCUCAGGCACGAAAGCGUGGGGAGCAAACAGGAUUAGAUACCCUGGUAGUCCACGCCCUAAACGAUGGCCACUGGGUGUUGGGGAAGCGAUUCCUUGGUACCGCAGCUAACGCGUGAAGUGGCCCGCCUGGGGAGUACGGCCGCAAGGUUA
Molecule: ribosomal RNA, 371 nt
Filed under: uncultured bacterium
Lineage: Bacteria
Description: bacterial SSU rRNA
Rfam family: Bacterial small subunit ribosomal RNA
Source: RNAcentral